AUAAAAGCAAAUUCCGCCGCCUUUUUUCUUGCCGGAAAGCUCCGCGUCGCGGUCCGCUCGGUGGAGAUGAAAGCCGUGCAGGUGGAGCGAGCUGUCCGGGACGGAAUCGGUGAGCCAGGUCUCAGUGAAGCACAGUACAGCAGAGAGAGAAAAGUCCUUGUUGGUACGGUUUAACAGUGAAAGUUCGUCCAUUUUAUUUCCUAAAGAGCGAAGGUUUGUCAUGUGGAUGCUGGGUAGCGGUGUACGAAGUCCGCGCUGUCGGAGUUUGACGAGCGCUCCGGCGCGCUUCCCACGUCUGCGCAUCCGCCUGCGUCUGCUCAGGAGCGCAGCCGCUCCGCUGACCAAAAUGUCCAAAAAAACUGUCCGAAAAUGAAAAAUCAGGAAAUAUACCUGGUGGCAUGAGCUGCCUAAUGUUCAGCAGAUCUUCUGCGCUGUAUUGGAGUGUGUUUGGAUCACACAUGCCAUAACAAACAAACAAAAACAAACAAAGCACUACGGAGCUCCUAACCAGUGUCGCCAUCUUGUACACAGCAUGAGGAAACAAACUGGUUUCACCAAAGUUGCACGAGGGCCAGAAACUAAAUGGCUUCAUGAUUGACAAUACAUUUACAUCAAAGGCAGUGUACAUUAGACAAUGACACAUUUACGUUUGUCACCACAGAUUUAGAGGACAGUGGUGUGGAGGUUGACACGACAACAGCAUCUAGUGACCACAGAAGUACCACACCAGUCAUUGUAUGACUACAAGGACUAAGGAUACCUUAAUCCACCUGAGUGACAGAUUAUUUGCUGUUGAGACUGUUCUGAAAUAUUUGGUUUCUGCAUGCAACAAUAAAUAAGAAACAUUUGUUUGCUUGGGACAAGAUCUUUGUUAACCAGUAUAAUAGUGAUUUCCUGACCUGUCCAUAACUUGAUAAUAAAUAUCUAAAUAUUA
Molecule: long non-coding RNA, 934 nt
Organism: Trichomycterus rosablanca
Lineage: Eukaryota; Metazoa; Chordata; Actinopteri; Siluriformes; Trichomycteridae
Exons: 2
Source: RefSeq, a predicted model, not a curated record